AAUAUUUUUAUGAAUUUGUUGUCUGGAUAAUCCAUAAAACCCAGUUUCAGAAUACUAUACAGGUUAAAGAUCACGACUUAAAAUCUUUCAUUGUUUCAUGACAUAUAAUCUAUAAACAUUUAAGACAUUUUAUAUGUAUCUUUAGGUAACGUCUCUUCUUCCUGGUACACAUGCUUUUCAAGAAAGUUCCACAGUCAUGAAUUGACAACAAUAAAUAAAAAAUGCAGAAAGAAAACAGGGAGUUGAAUAGUUCCUAUUUGAAAUGCUGGUCAGUAGUGGUCUGCUACCUUAAAAUUUAAUGCCUACUCUCAGUUUCGAUAUGAAAAAUUGUCGAAGACAUGAAAACCAUCACAUUUCUUGUAGAAUACAUUCCAGCAGUUGGGGACGUAGCUUCCCACAAAUUGGUGUGUAAGUACAUAUUUCCUAGGGAGAGUUCAGUGUAAUAUCUUCUCGGAUGUUACAGAAAGAAUGCAUAGUAUUAUGUUUCCAAAUUUAUUCAUGAUAUAAAUAUUUCUUUUUCAGAGGACCAGACAUUGUGAGAAAGUUUGAUUGCAUUCAAGAGCUGCCAGAGCUAAAGCUAGAAAAGAAACUAAACAACUUCUUCUCAUGAUCUGCUUAAUUGAUCUUCACAUUGAAUUAUGUGAGUUAUGAAUUUUGUUUCAAAGGGUAUCAUAAAUUCUCUUUCUGAUUAAUCCGCAAGAACCGGUUGAAAACUUUAAUAUUGAACAUUCCUUUAAUUAACGUUAUAGGUCAUUUGAACAUAUAGCUCUUUUCAUUUACAAGUUAAUGAAGCUUACAUUAAAAAUGAUUGUGUCACAUGGCGGAGAUAUACUGUUUCUGCCUUUGCCGUCUGUCUUUCCGUCUGUCUAUCCUGAUUAAGCUUGGCCGGCUUUUCUAGGUCAAACUGCUGGCUGGAUUUCGAAGAAACUUCACAGGAGUGAAUCAGUGAUCAAAACCAAGCCCAGUUUUGCAUAUGGCGAACACGUUCCGCCUCGCUGCAUAAAACGGCUGACAGAACUUAAGGUAUACAUAGGGGGGAGAACAUAUGUUUUUGUGACAAAAGCACCUUAUAGUUAUUCUAACAUAUUUCAGCUGAAGGGAGCAAAUUUAUUUAAUAACCUGUUAAAUAAAAAAGGUGAAAAAUUGAAAAGUUACUUAAAUACCUUGAAAUUUAAAAGCAGUUUACUGAACUGUAUAUUCAUUUCUCAGAAAAAAAACAUGCAUAUUAACUUUUUGUUUUCAUCAACCUGUAUGCUACAUUGUAUAAUGACGUUGAGCAAAUAAAGAUACUGCAGUCAGCGUUACAACCUUCAUUAAACAGAAUGAAUUGGUGUCACAGAAAUGGAUAACAUAUGGAGACAAACACUUUCAGGCUACAGAAACUACACAUUGUUUGAGACUAUGAGAAUGGCUUAUUUUCAUGAUGGAACUCAUACCACAAAGAAAGAACUUGCUUUAUCUUAUUUCUUAUAACUAGUCAUCAAAGACAUACCCAAGUAAACUACAACAGGAAUGAAAGCAAACAAAGUUGAUUCAGGAUUUAGAAUUGAAUGUUUUUGUGUCAACAGUGUGUGAAAACUGCGGCAAAUAGGAUUUUAAUUUCAAGGAUUUGAUUGAGUAUGUCAAGGAGUGAUUUGUUUUUAAUUCGUCACACAAGUUAUUGACAAUGCUCUAAAAUACAAAUAGGAUGUGUAAAUACAGACUUUUAUACCUAACUGAAAUAAUGUUGAACUCAACAGAAUAAACAAACAAUUAAACUAUCAUUUUAAAAAGCUAUUGUAUAAUAUAUUACUUGAUUUAUACAACUUUGUCAGUUUUGUUACAUGAUUUAUCAUUGAUAGAAUCUAUUAUCUAAUAACUCUUUACAGUGUGUCAAGUACUCAUCAUUAUAAGCUAUUUUGAAAUAAUUACAGGACUGAUAUUUUACUGGUAUUAGUUAAAUGUGUUGUUAUUAGACCCCUUACAUUUGAAAGUGAGUUUUCUUUAUACAUACAGGAUUCUGCUAUUCCGUCUGUCGGCUAGUCCAGUCUGUCAGAUCUUUGUCCAGAAAUUACAUUUGAAAUAAAAUAUAGCAUCAUUUUCA
Molecule: long non-coding RNA, 2083 nt
Organism: Mercenaria mercenaria
Lineage: Eukaryota; Metazoa; Mollusca; Bivalvia; Venerida; Veneridae
Exons: 2
Source: RefSeq, a predicted model, not a curated record